UGGGGAAUAUUGGACAAUGGGCGCAAGCCUGAUCCAGCCAUACCGCGUGGGUGAAGAAGGCCUUCGGGUUGUAAAGCCCUUUUGUUGGGAAAGAAAUCCAGCCGGCUAAUACCUGGUUGGGAUGACGGUACCCAAAGAAUAAGCACCGGCUAACUUCGUGCCAGCAGCCGCGGUAAUACGAAGGGUGCAAGCGUUACCGGAAUUACUGGGCGUAAAGCGUGCGUAGGUGGUCGUUUAAGUCCGUUGUGAAAGCCCUGGGCUCAACCUGGGAACUGCAGUGGAUACUGGGCGACUAGAGUGUGGUAGAGGGUAGCGGAAUUCCUGGUGUAGCAGUGAAAUGCGUAGAGAUCAGGAGGAACAUCCAUGGCGAAGGCAGCUACCUGGACCAACA
This 391-nucleotide ribosomal RNA is filed under the name uncultured Stenotrophomonas sp. RNAcentral's name for it is "bacterial SSU rRNA". It matches the Rfam family "Bacterial small subunit ribosomal RNA", at positions 355 to 739 of the family's 1533-position model. The record is from RNAcentral. Lineage: Bacteria; Pseudomonadati; Pseudomonadota; Gammaproteobacteria; Lysobacterales; Lysobacteraceae.